Molecule: long non-coding RNA, 970 nt
Filed under: Cricetulus griseus (Chinese hamster)
Lineage: Eukaryota; Metazoa; Chordata; Mammalia; Rodentia; Cricetidae
Description: lncRNA (ENSCGRG00015042737.1)
Source: RNAcentral
GCCACAACCUAGAAUCACCCAGAAGAGAGUUUGAAUGAGGGACAUCCUAGAUGAGGCUGCCCUCUAAGGAGUCUGUGGGGGUUGUCUCGAUUGUUAAUUGAGGUAGGAAAACCCACCCUAAAAGUGGGGUCACCAUUCCAUGUGCUGGGCACUGAACUGUGUAAGAGCGAACCGUGCUGGCUAAGAGCAAGCCAGAAGACAGCAUGGAAGCAUUUGUUUCUCUCUGUUCUCCAAAUGUGGAUGUGAUAUGAAGACUGCCAGAGUUCCUGCCUGAGCUCCUCGAAAGGGUGGACUGUAAUCUGGAAUUGUGACACAAACAAGCCAUUUCCUCCUCCACAUUGCUUUUCACCCGAGUCUGUCAGAGCAACAGAAACGAAACUAGAACAUGUACCAAGAUGACUUCUUUCAGAAAUGUGGAACUAGGCCAGACACGUCCCUUCCUCUUACCUCCUGCAACGCCCCCAGAAGCUCCCCUGUUCUCCAUUUCUAUGACCUUGCUCUUUCAAGAAUGUCAUGCACGUGGGAAGACACAGUAAGUAACCUUUGUGGUUUUUAUCCACUAAACACAAUUCUCAAGUGACUCACCGGGUGACGUGUGUAUCAUUAGUUUAUUCUCUUUUUAGUUGUUGAGUAGUAUUCGGUGGCCUGCACUUAACACAGUGUGUUCAACCAUUGUUAAUCCCACAGGUGGAGAAUGAGACUACUACCACAAUUUAAAGCCAAAUGGGAAGCAAGCUUUAAUUAAAUACUGGCCAGGUAGAUGGGCUCUGGCCAGGUCCAUCUCUGGAUUCCCAGAAAAUGUCCACCAGUCACAUUUUGCAAGGGCUUAAUAAGGUAAACCCACAAUUCACGGCAUUUCCCAUCAGGUCCAAUCAGAUCCAAGCAUACAUCCUGACAUAUUUCUUGCCCGCAUACUUCCCAGCCACAGGAUGUUCUGUGAUCAAGAACAUCCGGUGCAGAGAGAUCAAAC